UCCAAUAGCGUAUAUUAACGUUGUUGCAGUUAAAAAGCUCGUAGUUGAAGUGUGGGUGAUCGCUAUUGUGAGACUUCGGUCUCUCGAUAGUAAGUCACCCCCUUCCAGUAUCCAGUAGUGGGUAUUCACUUACUUACUAUUGUGUGUUGGUCCUUUACUGUGAGAAAAUUAGAGUGUUCAAAGCAGGCGUUUGCUUGAAUAGAUUAGCAUGGAAUAAUAAUUGAAGGCUUUCGUGUUCGAUUUGAUUGGUUUGUUCAUGGAAGCAAGGUUAAAAGGAACAGUUGGGGGUAUUCAUAUUCACUAGUUAGAGGUGAAAUUCUCGGAUUUAUGGAAGAUG
RNAcentral lists this ribosomal RNA (337 nucleotides) under Blastocystis sp. subtype 1. RNAcentral's name for it is "SSU rRNA". It matches the Rfam family "Eukaryotic small subunit ribosomal RNA", at positions 590 to 937 of the family's 1831-position model. The record is from RNAcentral. Lineage: Eukaryota; Bigyra; Opalinata; Blastocystidae.